RNAcentral lists this microRNA precursor (103 nucleotides) under Marmota monax (woodchuck). The record is from RNAcentral. Lineage: Eukaryota; Metazoa; Chordata; Mammalia; Rodentia; Sciuridae.
AGUGGGAUAGCUGGGUCAAAUGGUGGUUCCAUUCCAAGUUUUCUGAGGAAUCUCCAUACUGCUUUCCAUAGUGGUUGCACCAAUUUGCAGUUCCACCAGCAAU